Cloeon dipterum is the source of this 334-nucleotide long non-coding RNA. RefSeq lists it as uncharacterized. Lineage: Eukaryota; Metazoa; Arthropoda; Insecta; Ephemeroptera; Baetidae. The record is from RefSeq and is a predicted model, not a curated record. The transcript has 2 exons.
UUUUUGAUGCAGCUGACUGUUGUUCGACUAGCCAAAAGAGUUGCGUCUGGACCAAAUUUAGUCAAUGAGCAGUUGAGGCAACAGGAUUGGCAUAGACUGAUGCCUGCCUGUCAGGCCAUUUUAUAUCCAGCUUGCUCUUUGCUCGACAAGCGACAAGAGUCGAGUUCUUGCCAGUAAGAAAGGAUUGGAAGGGCAGGGUCGGCUACAGGAUAUAAAGAAAUUGGUUUUUAUGUCAGAACAGGACAUAGUUCAAGUAUAUUCAAAACUUGUUUAUAGCUCCUAUUAUAAAUUCAGGGUCUAGUUAUAUAUAACAAUAAAAUUUACAUGAAAUACA